UAAUUGCUUAAACGUUAUUUCUAUAAAUAAAGUCAGUUAUAUCACUGCAAAUUUGAGAUCACAUUGGUACUAAUUUAUUAUUGUACACCGUCCCUCCAGUUCCACCAAGUAUCACGAGUAAUAUGUCAACACUGUGCUCAGAAUGCAGAGUUUGUAGAAAGUUCUUGCCUAAAGAAUUAUAGUAUGCUUGAGAGUUUUUUCGUCUUCUAUCUUUUUCUUCUCUAUGCAUGCAGUAUCCGAAACUACUGGCCCGACUAAUUGUGAUUUGUGCAGCAUAGGGCCCAUUAAAAGAGAAAUUAUACCUACCAAGAGUUUCUCUAUUCCUCGAAUUUGAACUUGAGACAUGUGAUUAAGAGGGGAGCAACUCCAUACAUUCCACUCACCCGCAGGCUUUCUUGUACCUUGCCUACUCGUCACGACUUAUUUGUACCUAAAUACAAUCUAUUUCCUUGGGCCCAAAGGACCCUCGGCUAAUCGUUACUCGCCCGUCCUUGUUUAGGAAAAAACUACUACUAUCACUUGAUUGAUCUGUUCUGUUGGUAAUAGUUGCUUGAGAUACAAAAUAAAAUUUCUUUCCAUGCUAUUUCACAUUGUCUCGCUUCCUACGCAAGUUUUAACCCUUGGGGGAAGUAAAAUUAGUCAAGAAUCAGAACCCUUCUUGAUGGAUAACUUCACCCAUACUUUAUCAACAAUUAUAUUUGUACUUAUCACAUAUUAACAUUACAUGUUCAAUAGUGCCGUAAUAAUUGAUGCAUGUACCAAAUAACUAAUAUCUCUACCUUUUCCGGAGGACUUUGCACUCUCAGCCGUUUCUCAUACUUGAAGAAAACUUUUUUUCGGUAUGAAUCUGAAAAUACAGAAAUAACGCAAAGAAAAAACCAUAAAUGUUGAAGAAAAUUAAAAAAAAAAAUGAAUAAAAAUAAUUAUUACUUUGAUAUAUGUUAAUUUCAAUACCUCCAAAUAAAAAAGUCGGCUUUUUCCCUAGCUCUUCACCUCUACUUUCAGAAUUAGCAUAACAAAUAUGAGAAUCAUUAUGAGAAGGGAAUGAAAUAUAAUAGAGCGCUAAGGUUGAGCAAGCAAUAAUGACGCCAGAAGACAGUGAUUCAACAACUAUUCCAUUCUUUCUAUAUCCAUUAGAACCGCCGGACCCAACAUUUAAUUGGUGGCCAUUCGAUUUGGUGAAGAUGGAACGAAAUAUUGGAUUAUGAGCGGCAAGCCCUCGGAUUGCUGGCUUAGGUGUUCUAAAAAAUGCCCAAGGAUGCAUAGUAAUUACAAGCUGUAAAGAGAUAGCAGAAACCCAAAAGUGGAUCAGACUUUUGAAAGAUUAUUAUCACUUAGUUGUUAAAGAAAACAGACAAGGUUGAUCCUUGGAAAGAGGAAAGGGAAAAUAUUACGGGUAUAUUUGACCAAGAAAGAGAGGUGUGGGAUGUUUCUUGGGUUUUUGGUUCAGCUUUAUUCAUAACGGUCUCUAAGGUAGUUGGUUAUGUUUUUUAUGAGUCUCGAUUAUGUGCAUACUAGUGGCAGAGGUACUCCGUGUUAAGCUCGGGCCCAAACUUAAUGACACACUUUUUUUAUUAGUUUGUUCCAAAAAGAAUGACAUAUUUUUAUAAUUUAAAAUAAUUUAACUUUAAAUUAUUCGUUUUACCUUAAAUGAGAAUCUUUUAUAACCACAUAAAUGUUAUGGUCCCACAAAGUUUUUAUCCUUAUGCUUUAAAUACCACAAGUUUCAAAAGUCUUAUUUCCUUUUUUUUAGACUCGUGUCAAGUCAAACUACCUCAUCUAAAUUGAAAUAGAGUAACAAUUUUGAUUAAAAAGUAAUUUGUGUCAUAAUCUUUCAAAAUUAAUCAUAUAAAAUGUUCUCUGUUUCUGCUAUUCUCUAUGUUACCAUGCCUAUCCAUUGUUUAUAUCUUCAAAUUGGAUUUUGAAUUAGUUGGCCUAGAACUUAAACUUUUGGCAUUUUGUCAAAGAUUUAUUAGUGUUCUUUGUGUUGGAAAAUGUGACUAGGUUGUGUAUCGCUUCAUGUGGCUGAUCCAACCCGAUUAGAAGAGAUAAGUAAGAAAAGUUAUCACAGAAAUAACCACCCACACCAAAAUUGUUGCUGUCGUGUAUAAGGUGUAUGAGGUAAAAUUGAUUAGCGACAAGUCGAUAAACGACAAGAUGACAGGUGAAACUGAAGACAGGUAAGAUAUAAGUUAACAAAUAGUUGGCACCUGAUACAAACAUAUGACUGGUGCUGAAUGAGUUAUGAAGAUAUUGGAACCGAGAACAAACAUUUGAAAGGAAGACAUCGGUUGGAAAAGACAACAUUGAAUGGGCAUCCGUUACAAAUAAUCUAUGUAUUAAUGCUCAGUCCUUAUGCAUCCAUCAAGAAGGGUUUUAUCCACAUUAAAGAAGAGCGUAAUUUGGGGAUCUUGUCUCCCUAAGUAGAGCUAUAAAUAGGAGAAUUUAUAUUCAUUAUGGAACAUGAAAUAUUCUGUACUCAAAGCUAAAAUCAGCUCUCAUUCUAUCAAAUUAUUCUCUUUCUUCAGUUCUUAAUAUUGCUCUUGUUACUGCUUCUAGAGAAAUUAAAUCCACAACCAUGCUUGUAUUUCUUAAAGUUAUUUUAACAAUCUUAUUUCUGUCUUUACUUAUUUUAUAUUCUUGGAUCAAAUUAAUUCACAUGAAUAUAAAUUAUGUUACAAAUUCCACUGUACCGUUUUACCAGUAAACAAUUUGGCACCCAUCGUGGGGCAUAGACAAUUGUGUAAUUACUUUGAUCCAUUCAUCAAUUACUGACACAGUUUGAUUCUUUUCUUUAGCAAAGGAAAAAUCAGAUAUGACAGCUAACGAUGUGAAUAAUUCCAAUUAUAUUGGAGCAUACAACGAGCGUGAGGAUGUGUUCCAGCGUGAUGAUUAAUCUAGGGAUACUUGCAAUAAAGGAAACAAAAUAACUCUAGUUCACGAAGAACAAAAUCCCCGACAUGUCACAAGUCCAACUCCUGAUGAUAACGAUGAGAAAAAAUCCCCGACAUGUCACAAGUCCAACUCCUGAUGAUAUGAACGAUGAGCAUGUCAUUGAAACAGUCAAAUUUUGAGGGAGCAACAAAGGAAAAUUAUAAAGCAUCUCUCAAGACAAGACCGAGUAAUAACGGAGUUGAAGCAUGCACUUUCGACUGCUUCCAAUAACUCCAAUGGAGGAAUUUAAGUCCCUCCCAGCGUGCCUGCAAAUCAAACGUUGCAAAGAACCGGUAACAUCUCUUUGAGGGAAGAGUUUGGUGCUAAUGAAAAUGAGGCAGGUGGUGCAGGUAGUGGAUCCCAGAACGACAACAAUGUUAAUGAUCCUUUCAAAACUGAGCUCAUGAGAUUCAUGAGAGAAAUGAAUGAACGAAUGGACUAAAAUGCUAAGGAAUUCCAUGCUAGUAUGGAUCAAAUCUCGGGAGCACCACCGAUGUUGAAGGAUCCAGAUUCAAAAAAGUAUACACAAGUGCCAUUCAAAUCAAGUACGGCCUCGGAGCUGAUUCCGAAAAGAUUAAAGAUGCCAGAUAUUUCGAAGUAUGAUGAGACUUCAGAUCCACAACUGCAUGUUACAACUUAUACUACGGCUGUAAAAGGAAAUGACUUGGACCCGUACGAGAUCGAAUCUAUCGUUUGAAGAAUUUGGCAAAACCCUAAAGAAGGUUGCUUUAACUUAGUAUUCUCUUUUACUUAAUCAUUCAAUUGAUUCUUUUGAAAUGCUUGUAGAUUCUUUCAUUAAAGCUCAUGCUAAUGAAGAAAAGUCCAAGAUUAUCCUUGAGGUUGUAAAUAUUUAUGCCAUGUUUAACAAGUGCAAAGUACAUGUUGAAAGAGAUUAGAAGCCGAUAAUUUAGAAAGUUAAUGAGGAUUGGUUAUGAUGUUAAAAUAACAUAUACCAUGUAAAUAUGCAUAAUACCCAUGAUUAGAAUAAUAUAGGUCCUAUAAUUAGUAAAGAUAUGUUCAGGUGCUUAUGUGUAUAUAUGUAUUUUUUGUAAAAUAUCUAUUAGCAAGUAAAGACAAAUGCUGCCUCUUCAACCGUCCAAGGCCCCUUAGCCAUUGCAAAUUGAUAUAUAUCAAAUCUUCAAAUUGAAGGAGGUCAUUUACGAGCUGUUGCACGUUAUACAAUACAUAUAAGAACCCUCUUAUUCAAUUAGAAGCUCCUUACAAUUGCACCAUACGGCCAGCCCUCUUUAAGGCAAUUAUCUUGCAGUUUUCCUCUUGGUUUGGAGGUUUUGUUUGUAAAGGAUGUUGGGAAGGCUUAUAUCCAGUUCAUCCUAUUCCCUUUAUUCAAAUAAUUAAGGUAAGAAUUCAAUAAUAUUUCUAGAUAAGUUUAUCUUCUACUUGGAGAAAUUCACUUUGAAUUCUUCUUGAUGUAGAAAUAAAGGUUCUUGUAGUGUAUUUGAGGAGGGUUUGAUAGUGUUGAAGGGUUGAAAAUGUAGUUAUAAAUAUGUAUAUGUGUUGUUGUUCUUGUUGUUCAAGGUGAUAUUAUACGCUUCUCCGUGUAUUUGAGGUCAUUUGGAUCAUUGUUUUGUUAUUGAUGAAUGAAGUAUAGGUCGAAAGUUAUGAUUAAAAAUUUGGUUUGUGGGAGCGUAUUGAUGUGUUAUUGAAGGAGUUUCGUUGUGUAUAUCCAGAUACUUGAUGUUGUGGUGAUGUGAUUGUGUCUGCGUUACAUGAAUAUAAAUUAAGGAAAAGUGUAAGAAUAUCGUAUACAAGCGUAGAUCGGAUUGUUUUGGUGUAUACUCAUGUAUAUUGAUGGAUUGAGUUCAUAAAGGAAUUAAUUUAAGUCUUUGUUGUGGGUUUUGGUUGCCGAAUGUAGGGUAGUUAAGAGAAAGUAAAGGAAAUGCUGCCUGUUUUAUUUUAGAAUCGAGUUAUCAUUUGAGAUACGUGACAUACUAGCGCCAUCUAAGUUGUACAUGUAUUUCUUUAUUAUAGGGUUGGCACACUAUUUGUCAUAAGCUCGUUGUUGAGUUGCAUUGACGACUUGAGGUAUGUUAAGGCUAUCCCUUCUUUCCUUUUGGCAUGAUUCAUAUGAUACAGACAAAACGAGCAAACCCACAACUUUCUCAAAUGAAUAUUCUGAGAAGUACUAGGGGUGCCUAUGUUUUUUAUUCCCCAUGUGUCCUAUUAUUAUAUCGUCCAUUCACGGGUCUCAGAAAAUACGUAAGUUGGUAAAGUUUAUUUCGUGAUAUUAACCGAAGGCAUAUUGAUCUUAUGACAUUCCAAGAGAUCUUAUUGACUUACUUCAUUAUACAUUGCUUUCAUUUAUACAUGUACAUUAACCCAUGAUCAGAUAGCAUUAUAUAUGCGUAUAUUAUAUGUACAUGGGGUAUGGGGAAAGGUUACAAUAUUAUAUACGCAUCACCACCUGAUCAACUGGUAUACAUUGAUGAUUUCGCCCACUGAGGCCAAGAUGCAACAACAACAACAACAACGACCCAGUAUAAUCCCACAAGUGGGGUCUGGGGAGGGUAAUAUGUACGCAUACCUUACCACUAAGGCCAAGAUGAUAUGAUGGAAUGCCGAUAGAGGCUUGAUGAUGUUAUGUACGCAUAUACCUAUGCAUGAUAUGACAUUUAUACGCACAACAUUACAUUAUAAAUGUUUCAUGAUUCAUAGAGCUGUUCAAACUUACAUAUUGAGUCCUCUGCUAUAUGGUUCUAUCCUGUCUUUUAUAUACUAACUUUCAUGUCUUACAUACUUGGUACAUUAUUCGUACUAACGCCCCUAUUGCCUGGGGGCCUAUGUUUCAUGCUUGGAGGUGCAGGUAGACAGUCUGACGGUCCCCCUUUUUAGGAUCCUUGCUCAACGAGAGUUGGUGUGCUCCAUUUGAUACGGAGCUGCUAUUGGGUUUUGGUAUGAUAUUUUUGUACACAUAUAUUGGUACGAGAGGCCUAGUACCGUCCUUUAUACAGUUGUACACUCUAUUAGAGGUAUGUAGAAAGUCACGUAUAGUUGGAUAGUAUGUGUCCUUGUCGGCUUCUAUGUUUUGAAAUAUAGUUGUCCAUAGCAGCCUUGUCGGUUUGCACAAACUAUUGAGAGUGUUCAAGGUCCGAUUUUAGAAGGAAAGAAGUUGUUGUCGGCAGUACCAGAUGAGUGGGCAAUUGAAACGUUCACCAAAGAUCUCAAUCUACUGAGUUUUGAUGCCUCCAGGAAACUGAAGGAAAGUUUUUUGGAAUUUCAAGCAACCACAUGGGCAGAUGUCCACAAUCAUUAUGAAUAAAAAAUUAGAAAAGAAGAUGAUCAACUGGGCUCUUCAAUGUCUUCUAACGGACGUAAUCGUGAUCGAAAUCAGGAGAAGUUCAAAACUGAUUUUGAUGCAGAUCGAAGGUCUUCCAGGAGUCGCUUUUAGCCUUAUGAAAGGGUUGAUGGGAAUGGAAAUAAAGGAUUUCAGUCAUCGGACAUGUUUUCUACCAAUAGAAGAGUGGAUCGUGGUCGGAAUAGUAGAGCUUUACAGGAGAAGGAACCUGUCACGAUCUAAAAUCCAACCCGUUGUGAUGACACCUAACCCAACCCGCUAGGUAAGACAAAAAAAAAUAAAACACACUACAGUGAUAAUGAUAAGAGUCAAAAAUCAAAUAGCUGAAUUUUUAUACAACUUCACAAGGACUGGUAGUACAAGUCACGAGCCACUAAGAUUUAGAUUUUUACCAAACUGAAUUAAAAUAAUUACAACAUCUUCUUGAAAUUUAAAUGAACAGAAUUCGAAUGUAAAGCUACCAAGGAUAAGUGAUAGUCAUAACUAGAACACAAGUAGAUCUUCAAUGCCAGCUCUCGUCGUACACAGCCGCAUCAACUCCAAGAUCUGCACGCAAGGUGCAGAAGCAUAGUAUGGGUACAACUGAUCCCAUGUUCUCAAUAAGUAUCCUAACUAACCUCGGCGAGGUAAAAUAAGCAAGAACUAUAGAUUAUACUCACUAACUCCUAUGCAGUUUAUAAUUUCAACAAGUAUAGAACAAAUAUAUGAUCAAAUCAGGAAAUCUUAGGAAAAACCACUUUAACACUCAUAAUUCUUUGGUUUAAAGUAUACUGUUCACUCAACAAUCCAGCAUAUAAGGAAGAUAUGCAAGUAUAUCAGGUAAACAACCGAGAAAAUUGCAAGUAAAGAUGAAAUUCCAUAACUAAAUAUCACAUCAACCAGAAACUCAUCGGUUUCUCACAAUUCGCGUGUGCACCAUCAAGAGAGAAAUAUGAGAGGGUGACCCUAGGGGGAUGGAUCCAUUCCACAUCCUACAUGGACAAGUCACGUGCUACACGAACAAUUCACAUGCUAAUAAUAUCAACCGCGCGAACAGCUCAUGUGAUGCAUGGACAACUCACGUGCUAUAAUAUUAAUAUCUAGAUCCGCACGGAUAACUCACGUGCUGUACGGACAAUUCACGUGCUAAUAAUAUCAAUUCGCCCGGCGUGGCCACAUGCACAAUUUCAUAAUCCGCCGGACAUGGUCACAAGCAUAACAACAUAAUACGCCUGGCAUGGUCAUAUGCACAAUAUCAUAAUUCGCCCGGCAUGGUCACAUGCAUAACAACACAAUCCUCCCGGCGUGGUCACAGGCACAAUAUCAUAAUUCGACCGACAUGGUCACAUGCAUAACAACACAAUCCGCCUGGCGUGGUCACAGGCAUCCAGUCAAAUCAUAUCACACAGGAGCAAAUAAACAAGAAUAUAUGUGUAUGAUAAAUGAAUAGCAAAUCUCAUGCUCCUCGAUUGGUAUAAAUUACAUGCUAAAGCGUAGGCAUAUGCCGAGUGUAUUAUCAUAGCUCAAAUCGGCAAUUACAUCACAAAAUAUUAUUUAUCAAGUGCAUUCCUGGAUUAAACCUCUUUGUAGCCUUAAACACGGCUCAAAUAGUUCACACAUUAUUACAAAUAUGAGAAACAUCAUAGCUUAAAGCAUAGCAGUCAAUUCUAGGCUUAUCAUAGCCUAAAUGCAAACUUCGAUAUAUAAUGAGUCUGCCCAGAACUUCCACAUUUGUGGACAAAAUAAUGCACCUGCGGCCUCACAUUUGCGAGCUAAAACAUCACAUCUGCGACUUCAGCUUAAAGAACCAUGAUCGCAUCUGUGGAACACCUUCCGCGCCUGUGACUCUGCAGAAGCGUAUUGUCACGCCCCAAGCCUAGGGAGGCGUGGCUGGCACCUGGUGCCGAACUGGCCCGAGCGAACCACUCUAUAACUCAUUUUUUUCCUUGUGCAACUAUCAUGGGCCAACUUGGCCACAACUCGUAAUAUAUAACUAUAAGUGGGAAAACGUUGUAUUAAUGAAUCAUUUUUCUUAAAACAUGAAUACAUAUGAGCCGUCAAGGCCUUUGACAUACUGUACAAAAUGAACCUCUACCUACAAAGUCUCUAAGAUUAUUCGACAUCAAAUGGGAUAGGGUACCGGCCUACCCAUAAGUCUGUAGCAAAGCUCUAAUACAAUGACUCAUAGACUCGGAUGCAUUCCGAAUGAGGUGGAGUCUUAUCGAUCCUUUGCUGAAUGCGAAUCUCGUCUACUAUGAGGACUCGUCAAACUGAUUAUCUAUACCAGCUGAUACUGACUCAAUUCUCUUAAUAUAAUAAGUAAAAUAGUUGUCCGGGCCUAUAAGGCUCGGUAUAUAUAUAACUGCUCUAUCGUGGUAGGCUCGCUCAUAGGCGCUCGGCCAUACUAGGCUCUGUAUCUUGACCAACUAGGCUCGCUCAUAAGCGUUCGGCCACAGUAGGCUCGGUAUAUAUAUAACUACUCUGCCGUAGUAGGUUCGCUCAUAGGCGCUCGACCAUACUAGGCUCUGUAUCUCGACCAACUGGGCUCGCUCAUAAACGCUCGGACACAGUAAGCUCGGUAUAUAACUUACCAUCUGAUCAGAGGUUGCCCAAUAGAGGCCUGCCCAUCGAUUAUAACUCGAUGGUAAUGAAAAUACUUUUAAUACUAUAUAUAUGUAAACUGUCUGCUCUUUUGACUAGAAGAAGAAAAUACUUGACUGAAUAUGAAUUCCCCAUAAGGAGAAUAUGGCAAUUUAUAAAAUUUAAAAAAUAUACGUAACUUGCGAAACUAGCAAAAUAUACGCAAAUUGAUAUGAAUUUUUCUUUAUGUCUCGUUAUCAAACUUGUAUAGUGACGAAAUCAUGCCAAAAUGAAGGAAGGGCUUAACCUUAACGUACCUGAGCCUAUUCCUUGAUAAUUCCUCUACACACGUUGAUUGUAACAAAACACAAAACAAGUUGUAUGAAAAGAUCGAAGCAAUUAAGAAGCUAUGCAAAGAAAAUCUUCAUCGAGUCUAUCUACAUGAAGGUCGCAUCAUAAAAGAAGUUCAACUACUAUCUAGCCAAUUCAUCACUUGUCGUAAUAACUCUUCACUUUCUAUCCUCAUAAUUUUCUGCAAAUACCUACUGAAAAUUCCUUGUCUAACACCUUUUCAACCAUUAUCCUAAUUAUUUCCCACAACCAAGAUGAAUAAUUUGAAGUAAACGCAAGGAAACAUGUGAAGAAACUACCGCUAAAGCUGUUAACUUCCAUGGGCACAAAAGUAUUGAACAACACUUCUUGGCAUACAAUAAAAGUCACUUCCGCGACCAAGUUUUUUUUUUCUUGAAAGAAAGCGGAACAAAGCAGUCUCCACUGGCUCUCCAAAUCCACAGCUUGAAUCAUUCCUCCACAGUAAGGACAAGCCCGUGCUGCUGCCUGUCUUUGUAGAACUCUUUCAUCUUCAUUGCAAACAGACAGAGGCGGAGUUAGAUAUUGAAGUUUAUGGAUUCUAAAAUUACAAUCGAACCCGUAACUCGUUAGUUACUGGGUUCACAAUUGAGUAUUUAUACAUAUUUAAUGGAUUUCCAAAUACAAAUCCAAGGUCUAAACAAAAGCUAAUGGGUUCGUCCGAACCCGUACGUAGCACUCUCCCUUCGUCCCUGCAAACAAAUACAGAGCACAUCCUUAAGUAGUUGAUAUUCCUCCUCUGCUUCUUUAUUAUGUAUACCUUUGCUUAUUUUUGAUUGAAUAUUUAACAAUCAACCACUUUCCUCUUUCUGGGUUGAUUUGAUUAUCAAAGAAUAUCCAAAGGUAUGAAAAAAAAAUGAAGCUAAGUUUAUUGGAUAUGGUAGAACAGAGCUGGGUAGGGAUGAUGGGUUUUUUUGGGGUUAAGGUACAAGGAAAAUAUAUUUACAAAGACGUGGGAGUCUAGUAACAUCUCGAAGGGACUUUUUCUUAGAUACGAAGAUUCCAAGUACCAAACAAAAAAAACGUGUUGACUGUUUGUUAUGAUGAUUCUAGCGUCUAGAUGAGCUUUUCUUUUAUUUUCUAAAAUUUUCUUUGGAUAAACUUAAACAGGGAACACUAGAUUGUUUCCUUUCAAUAGGAGAACAAUACCAAAAUUAAUAGUAACAUGUAAGUUGUCAGUGAAGGUUUUGCUAUGCUUAAUUCUCAAGAAUAUGACAAAAAUAAAUUCCUUCCACCAAAAAUCAUUAAUUACCUACGUAAUUAAAAAUUAUCUUAAAAUACUACUCACUUUUAAUAUACUUUAUACACCUUACUAUAAUAUACUUU
RNAcentral lists this long non-coding RNA (10501 nucleotides) under Nicotiana tabacum (common tobacco). RNAcentral describes it as "long non-coding RNA (NTAB_LNC008804)". Lineage: Eukaryota; Viridiplantae; Streptophyta; Magnoliopsida; Solanales; Solanaceae. The record is from RNAcentral.